CUCCUUUCCAAGCCAUGUUGCAAGAAGAGGAAAUGGAGCCAGCACUGCACUUGGCAAGAGCAGGUGGGCAGAAGGCCAAGCCUCAAGUAGGGUUGGUUGUAUUUGUUCUGGCUUGGGUAGCAACAGCAACGACAUGAGAAGGGGCAAAUGAUAUUUACUCUGCCUGCACCAGAAUCUCAGGAAAGGAUAGGGCUCCAUGGUGCAGCCUCUGCCCCAGGACCUGAGUGGUCCUGCCCAGCAACCAUGAGCUCCAAAGCUGGCUGGACCCAUGUCUUUUCUACAAAGGGAUCCAGCUACACCUGUGUCCAGGUCCCUGAGAUUGCUGGGACCCUGGACAUGCUCAGCAGCGGGACUGGCCCUUGAGGGUCUCCCUAUGUAGCCCAAGCUGGCCUCAAGCUUGUGAUCCUCCUGCCUCAGCCUCCGAGUACCUGGGAUUACAGGUGUGCACCACCACGCCUGGCUUGGAAGAAACUCUUACUGAGCCUCCAUGUGGCACGCGAAGCUCUAAGCUGGAAACACGCAGCCAGGGGCUUAGCUGCUCCUGCUGCUGAGCUACUGAACUAGAGGCCGGGUCAGAUGCAGCCACCCCUGCUUUGCUGUCUUCAGGCCCCCACGGGUCCGUUCCUGACCUGGUUUUGGAUGGAAUAUGACUCAGCCCUCAGCAGGACGCCAACCAGAAGUGCUCCGUUCUCUGCAGGCACAAGACACAGGAAAGAGUCACUGCCUGUUGGGAAUGCUCUGAGUGUUUAGGAGAAGAGAACUGACUUCAGGGCCCAGAAUAAAUAUCCUCCUGAAGAGGACUGCAGGAACAGGAGAGCACUCCGGAGAUCUCUAUCUUGGGUUCUAACAAGGACCAAGUGGGAGAUGGCGGCAGUUGUUGGAGAUGGAAACUGUGUUUGCCCAAAGCUGUGUGCUGCGGAGGAGCGGUGGGUUGGAAGCUGCUGAGGACCAGGGCGGUGAAGCGAGGACCAGCCUGAGGGACUCGGGGAGGGAAGCUCGAGAGAAAGAGGAGAUUGCAGUGAGCUGAAGGUAAAGCCAAGGAGAUUACCGAAAGCCGGCAUGGGGGCUGCCUCGCCUCCCGCUGGGUCCAGGUCCCGGCAGCCUGUCCCGCCACCCUCCCCGGCCCUGCAGUGCCCUCCUCUCUCCCAGGCUGGAGGCCUGGUCCCUGCUCCCUCUCCACCCCUUGGACUCCACUUCCUCUUCCACACAGAGAUGUCCUCUGCUCCACCAGGCCUCUUCUGCGCCUUGGUCCCUCAGGCCGAUCCCCACACCCACUGACCCAGUGCCCACUGAGCUACCCCCUGGUCCCAGCCUCACUCCCUCCGGUCCCAGAGACCCCUGCCACAGCCACAGCCCAGGCUCUGGCUGCGAUGCAGCUUGUUCCUCCUCCUCAGUCUGCUGCAUGGCUGCGUGACACCAGCCUCCACCACUUUCUUCCUCUCUCAGCCUGGCCCUUUUGCCACCUGUCAUACACGGCCCUGUGGUGUCCCAAGUGGGUGGGUAGCUGGAGGACUUCUGUGGUCAAGGAUGUCCCUCUCCAUGCCGUGCGCACGCUCCUUCACAAGGCAGUCACAGCGACCUGUUGCAUUCCAAAGACCCAUGCCUGAAGUUCAGUGCUCCGGGCCACUGUCACCACCGACCUCUGUCAGCUCUCUGUAAGCUGCCCCCACCUACACCCCGAGGUGGCAGAGCCCAGCUGCUGGCAGAGCCCCUGCCUGCCCCACCCAGCCGCAGCACGGUGCUGCCGAGCCUCCUCCUCGGGCUCCGCCUGGCCCUCUGCUCCAGGUGGCCCUGUGUGUGUCUCCUCUGGGACCACGGGCGACAAACUGUCUCCCCAGUACCCAUCGUCUCCCCGUCAUGGGCCUUGGUACUUCGAGCUGCAUUUCCACACUGCUGGCCCUGAUGUCCCCUCGUGGCUCAAGCUUGCGUAACCCUCCCUUGCUCCAGCCCGGCCGCUCCUCCCCGCAGCGGGGACAGCUGGGCUGAGCCAUGGGUGCAGGUCACAGAAUUGUGGCCCCACGUCCUACUCUGGCUAACAUUGUGGACAAGUG
Heterocephalus glaber (naked mole-rat) is the source of this 2051-nucleotide long non-coding RNA. NCBI's taxonomy places the organism in Eukaryota, Metazoa, Chordata, Mammalia, Rodentia, Bathyergidae. The record is from Ensembl.